This 800-nucleotide non-coding RNA is filed under the name Pongo abelii (Sumatran orangutan). The record is from RNAcentral. Lineage: Eukaryota; Metazoa; Chordata; Mammalia; Primates; Hominidae.
GUUAAAGGCUGAAAGAAUGAAUGAGCGACACAGGAUGAAAGACAGCAAGUGAACAGGCUACUAGGGAGAUACCUGUAACAACAUCACCAACCACAGUUGGGGUAAUGGAGAAUUUCUAAAAAAAAAAAAGGCCUUACUACUUUCUGAUCAUAUCUUAGAUAUAUCACAAGCCAAACAUCCUACUUUGAGUCAAUUCAAGUCAAUUGGGUAUAUCAUCUAUAAGAAAAAAUGUGGGAUAUUUGGGAACAUCUACAGCAACACUAUACAGUAGAACUAUAAUAUGAAUACCCCUGAACUACAUGAAAAGUUAAAAUUAUACUCUCCUGUAACAGAAAGAGAGCUACGAUCGAGAGGACUUUAUUUAUGGACAGUAACAUUCCUACUUAUUCUGAGGUCACACUUCCUGAACAAUGCAAUCAAAUUAAAAUAACCUUAAAUAGCACUUGGAAGGGCAAAUAACUCACAAAGCCCAAUAGACUGUCCCUUAAGAGAGGUAGAAGAAAACUGAAUAACUGAAGCAAUCACCAGCAGGUUCUAGCAGCUAGACACAAUGACAUCAAUUAGAAGUAACCAAUAAAAAUACAGAAAUGAAAAAAAGAAAUAACAGAACACUAAACUAUUCAUUCAUUUUUCUAGUUUUCAGCAGCAAACCAUCUGUAGUUAUUUUGUCAUAGAGGCAAAUGACACUCUUUGAGGACUCUAUUGUAUUAUAAAAGAAUAUAUAACUUGACCUUCAAUCAACAAGAGAAGGUUAAACGUUAUUUAAGUAGAUUUUGAGAAACAUAACAACUGUGAUACCU